RNAcentral lists this ribosomal RNA (202 nucleotides) under uncultured bacterium. RNAcentral describes it as "partial 16S ribosomal RNA". It matches the Rfam family "Bacterial small subunit ribosomal RNA", at positions 524 to 724 of the family's 1533-position model. The record is from RNAcentral.
UACGUAGGCAGCAAGCGUUGUUCGGAGUUACUGGGCGUAAAGGGUGCGUAGGCGGUUGUUUAAGUUUGGUGUGAAAUCUCCCGGCUCAACUGGGAGGGUGCGCCGAAUACUGAAUGACUAGAGUGCGGGAGAGGAUAGUGGAAUUCCUGGUGUAGCGGUGAAAUGCGUAGAUAUCAGGAGGAACACCGGUGGUGUAGCACGG